RNAcentral lists this ribosomal RNA (429 nucleotides) under bacterium. RNAcentral describes it as "partial 16S ribosomal RNA". It matches the Rfam family "Bacterial small subunit ribosomal RNA", at positions 355 to 776 of the family's 1533-position model. The record is from RNAcentral.
UAGGGAAUCUUCGGCAAUGGGGGCAACCCUGACCGAGCAACGCCGCGUGAGUGAAGAAGGUUUUCGGAUCGUAAAGCUCUGUUGUAAGAGAAGAACGUGUGUGAGAGUGGAAAGUUCACACAGUGACGGUAACUUACCAGAAAGGGACGGCUAACUACGUGCCAGCAGCCGCGGUAAUACGUAGGUCCCGAGCGUUGUCCGGAUUUAUUGGGCGUAAAGCGAGCGCAGGCGGUUUAAUAAGUCUGAAGUUAAAGGCAGUGGCUUAACCAUUGUUCGCUUUGGAAGCUGUUAAACUUGAAUGCAGAAGGGGGGAGUGGAAUUCCAUGUGUAGCGGUGAAAUGCGUAGAUAUAUGGAGGGACACCGGUGGCGAAAGCGGCUCUCUGGUCUGUAACUGACGCUGAGGCUCGAAAGCGUGGGGAGCAAACAGG